GACGUAGGGCGCGAGCGUUGUCCGGAAUUACUGGGCGUAAAGCGUGCGCAGGCGGUCUGCUAAGAGAGAUGUGAAAUCCCCGGGCUUAACCUGGGAACUGCGUUUCUAACUGGCAGGCUUGAGUGUGGCAGAGGGGGGUGGAAUUCCACGUGUAGCAGUGAAAUGCGUAGAGAUGUGGAGGAACACCGAUGGCGAAGGCAGCCCCCUGGGCUAACACUGACGCUCAUGCACGAAAGCGUGGGGAGCAAACAGG
Molecule: ribosomal RNA, 253 nt
Filed under: uncultured bacterium
Lineage: Bacteria
Description: partial 16S ribosomal RNA
Rfam family: Bacterial small subunit ribosomal RNA
Source: RNAcentral